Molecule: ribosomal RNA, 465 nt
Filed under: uncultured bacterium
Lineage: Bacteria
Description: bacterial SSU rRNA
Rfam family: Bacterial small subunit ribosomal RNA
Source: RNAcentral
CCUACGGGAGGCAGCAGUGGGGAAUUUUGGACAAUGGGGGCAACCCUGAUCCAGCCAUGCCGCGUGAGUGAAGAAGGCCUUCGGGUUGUAAAGCUCUUUCAGACGGAAAGAAACGGUUACGGCUAAUACCCGUGACUAAUUACGGUACCGUCAGAAGAAGCACCGGCUAACUGCGUGCCAGCAGCCGCGGUAAUACGUAGGGUGCGAGCGUUAAUCGGAAUUACUGGGCGUAAAGCGUGCGCAGGCGGUUAUGUAAGACAGAUGUGAAAUCCCCGGGCUUAACCUGGGAACUGCGUUUGUGACUGCAUAACUAGAGUGCGGCAGAGGGGGGUGGAAUUCCACGUGUAGCAGUGAAAUGCGUAGAUAUGUGGAGGAACACCGAUGGCGAAGGCAGCCCCCUGGGUCGACACUGACGCUCAGGCACGAAAGCGUGGGGAGCAAACAGGAUUAGAUACCCCAGUAGUC